GUACGUACAAGCAGUGGGAGCACCCUUCGGGGUGUGACUGCGUACCUUUUGUAUAAUGGGUCAGCGACUUAUAUUCUGUAGCAAGGUUAACCGUAUAGGGGAGCCGGAGGGAAACCGAGUCUUAAUUGGGCGUUAAGUUGCAGGGUAUAGACCCGAAACCCGGUGAUCUAGCCAUGGGCAGGUUGAAGGUUGGGUAACACUAACUGGAGGACCGAACCGACUAAUGUUGAAAAAUUAGCGGAUGACCUGUGGCUGGGGGUGAAAGGCCAAUCAAACCGGGAGAUAGCUGGUUCUCCCCGAAAGCUAUUUAGGUAGCGCCUCGUGAAUUCAUCUCCGGGGGUAGAGCACUGUUUCGGCUAGGGGGCCAUCCCGGCUUACCAACCCGAUGCAAACUGCGAAUACCGGAGAAUGUUAUCACGGGAGACACACGGCGGGUGCUAACGUCCGUCGUGAAGAGGGAAACAACCCAGACCGCCAGCUAAGGUCCCAAAGUCAUGGUUAAGUGGGAAACGAUGUGGGAAGGCCCAGACAGCCAGGAUGUUGGCUUAGAAGCAGCCAUCAUUUAAAGAAAGCGUAAUAGCUCACUGGUCGAGUCGGCCUGCGCGGAAGAUGUAACGGGGCUAAACCAUGCACCGAAGCUGCGGCAGCGAACGUAUCACCCAAGACAACUUUACGGAGUUGACGAUUGACGGAGCGAAGCGACGUCAAAGCGUUCAUUAAAGUCGAGUUGGCUUAGGGAUACGUUCGUUGGGUAGGGGAGCGUUCUGUAAGCCUGUGAAGGUGUGUCGUGAGGCAUGCUGGAGGUAUCAGAAGUGCGAAUGCUGACAUAAGUAACGAUAAAGCGGGUGAAAAGCCCGCUCGCCGGAAGACCAAGGGUUCCUGUCCAACGUUAAUCGGGGCAGGGUGAGUCGACCCCUAAGGCGAGGCCGAAAGGCGUAGUCGAUGGGAAACGGGUUAAUAUUCCCGUACUUGGUGUUACUGCGAAGGGGGGACGGAGAAGGCUAUGUUGGCCGGGCGACGGUUGUCCCGGUUUAAGCGUGUAGGUGUGUGUUCCAGGUAAAUCCGGUU
This 1068-nucleotide ribosomal RNA is filed under the name Salmonella enterica. RNAcentral describes it as "partial 23S ribosomal RNA". It matches the Rfam family "Bacterial large subunit ribosomal RNA", at positions 560 to 1547 of the family's 2925-position model. The record is from RNAcentral. Lineage: Bacteria; Pseudomonadati; Pseudomonadota; Gammaproteobacteria; Enterobacterales; Enterobacteriaceae.